GGUGAUCUGCCCUGCACUUUGGGAUAAGCCUGGGANACUGGGUCUAAUACCGGAUAGGACUACGGCCUGCAUGGGUUGUGGUGGAAAGCUUUUGCGGUGUGGGAUGGGCCCGCGGCCUAUCAGCUUGUUGGUGGGGUUAUGGCCUACCAAGGCGACGACGGGUAGCCGGCCUGAGAGGGUGACCGGCCACACUGGGACUGAGAUACGGCCCAGACUCCUACGGGAGGCAGCAGUGGGGAAUAUUGCACAAUGGGCGCAAGCCUGAUGCAGCGACGCCGCGUGAGGGAUGACGGCCUUCGGGUUGUAAACCUCUUUCAAUAGGGACGAAGCGCAAGUGACGGUACCUAUAGAAGAAGGACCGGCCAACUACGUGCCAGCAGCCGCGGUAAUACGUAGGGUCCGAGCGUUGUCCGGAAUUACUGGGCGUAAAGAGCUCGUAGGUGGUUUGUCGCGUUGUCCGUGAAAACUCACAGCUUAACUGUGGGCGUGCGGGCGAUACGGGCAGACUGGAGUACUGCAGGGGAGACUGGAAUUCCUGGUGUAGCGGUGGAAUGCGCAGAUAUCAGGAGGAACACCGGUGGCGAAGGCGGGUCUCUGGGCAGUAACUGACGCUGAGGAGCGAAAGCGUGGGGAGCGAACAGGAUUAGAUACCCUGGUAGUCCACGCCGUAAACGGUGGGUACUAGGUGUGGGUUUCCUUCCUUGGGAUC
RNAcentral lists this ribosomal RNA (709 nucleotides) under Mycobacterium sp. RNAcentral's name for it is "bacterial SSU rRNA". It matches the Rfam family "Bacterial small subunit ribosomal RNA", at positions 120 to 841 of the family's 1533-position model. Lineage: Bacteria; Bacillati; Actinomycetota; Actinomycetes; Mycobacteriales; Mycobacteriaceae. The record is from RNAcentral.